GAGACAGCAAUUCAUUGUGCUUCAUGAUCCAUUUGAUUUCUUCUACCUGAGCGUUCGUCAAAAUGCACAAGAACGGAAUCUCAAUUUUGGCAGGUAUUACCACUUCCAUUCGAAGCAUAAGGUGUUGCCCCAACUUAGAAAUGUAAUCUCCAAGUGAAAUGCUCCCCAAAGUUCAAUAGCAAAAAUUUGCAAAAUUGAAGGGAAAAUUCUCUCUCCUUUUUUUCACUCCCCUUUUUCUUUCUCCUUUUUUUUUUUUCAAGUUGGCUACUGAAGUAUGUACUCCUUCUGAAUAAAUAGCCGAUCCUCCACUUUGCAAUGUAGUAUUAUUGCCCCUUUUUUAUUCGUGAUUACCCUCCAAAUUUGCAAGAUUUUGACUUGCGUCUUUUUCUCAAUCUUAACCAUAAACUCCUGCACAAGGGGGAUUUUUCAAAACACUUGAAUUUUUCAAAAAUUUUUUUUUUCUUUUUUUCUUUUGUUUUGUUUUUCCUUUUUCCUUUUUUUUGAGUAAUGAUAUAAGAAUUAAGGUUCAAGCAAAGUGUUGACUUACCAAAAUUUGAAAAAUAUAUACUUGACCUUGGACAUAUCCUAUAAAUGUAUUAUAAAAUUGUCUCAAUUUGAACUUAUUUGGUGAAAUCUCACAAAUAUAUCACAAAAAAUUUGCCUCAAUUUGAGCUUAUUUUAGUUGCAAAAUAAUCACAUGCAAUGUGAAUAGAAACUACAUUUUUCAAAUGCAGAAUUUAAAUGUCAUAUCCAAACUCAUAUAGAAGAUUCCAUGAUAACUCUCUCAAAAUAAGACAAAAUUGCAAAAGAUCGAUUUCUCAUUUUUGGGAUCGGUGUUUAGAGAAAGUGGCCACUUUUCUUAUUAGCUCAUCCUUUAGGAUCAAACAAACAAGUAUUAUUUCUAAUUUUGAGAUGGCUCUGGGGGAUGGUAUGUCAGGAUUUGUAUUUUUUUUGUGCCCAAAUUUUGUCUAACCCAUUCAAUAUCACAUCUUGAUGAAAGUAAAUAGUUUAUCACCCUUAUUUCUUGAGAAAACUCAAUCAACAUAUAAGAUCUAUAGGCUUGUAAUAUAUGGGUAGAAACGAUAGUUAAAUAUAUGAAAACAGGUUAUGGUCUUAUGAUCAUGAGUGAUUGGUAGAUUCCUUAGAAACAUGAUCCUUACUUCAAAUUGUCAUGAAAGAUAAGUCAGUAAUGGACUUUAUGAGCUUGUAAUGUGGUUUGACAACGAUAGCUAAAAGAAAUAAAAUUUUCAAGAACAAUGCACUUAAGAUCAUAUUUCUUCCCAAAAAUUGCCCCAGUUUUGGACUUAACACUCGGGACCCCAUUUUGACUCUUUUUUUUUUUUUUUUAUCAAUCACGAGAGGGAAUUCAGCAUUGGAUGUCUUUGCAUUUUUUUUUUCAUUUUUCUUUGCUUCUCUCUUUUUCUUUCUUUUUUUUUUUACCAAUACUGAGAUUCCAAAUGUCAAUUAUAGAAUUGAAAACUCCCUAAUUUUGGAGUGUAGAUGGCACCUCUUUCUUUUCGAUAUUGAAGACCAAAUAUCAAUGGUAGAGUCAAAUUCCCCCAACUUAUAGUUUUUCUCUUUUCUUCUUUUUUUUUUAAAAAAACUCCUUCCUCAGUGUGGGGGUACGAUCAUAAUUGCUUUUGAAACGAACCCACCAAUUUAGGUUCAAAUAAAGAUGCAAAGAAUAAAAAGUGUUUGGAUGGUAGAAACGAUGGCCAAAACAUCAUUCUUAUUUCUCAUGACAACCAAAGUAAAGAAUAGCCUGUUGGGAUAAUCCAUUUCCUUUUGACAUUUGAAAAUUUUUUCAUGUAAGGUCAUGAUCAUUGAGGCUUUUAUUUGAAACGAAAUUCUAUUUUUUAAAGUCUCAAAUGGAAAAACAAAUGAUAAAAUCUGUAUAGAUUGAUAAACGAAAACUUAAAGUAUCAUUCCAAAUUUUCAAAACAAAUAAGAAGUAAUGUACAUUUUUGAUUUCACUUAGAUGUGGAUUGAAUCUGAUUAGACAAAGUGAACAUUUUCACUGUAAAGAUUGUCUCACUUUAAAGCUCGUCAACCAAUGUGACUGGCUUUGUAAGUUCGAUAGACGUGGACAAAAAUAUAAAUUACAAAAAUAAGAGAGAGAAAAGUAUCGGAGUUGAUCUUUUAUGACAAACUAUCAAAUUUGAGUGACCCCUUUUGCUUUCAACUACUCUCAUUGAAUAGUUUAGAUCACAAAUUUAGUGUAUACAAAGAUUUUUGGGAAUUGGACAAACACUUGUGAAUUUUCAAACAAAAGGUCGAAAAAUCUCAAUUUAGUCUUAUUUUUUAAAAUCCAUCAUGAAAUCUUUCAAUGAGCAAAUAAAGAAUGAAUAUAUGCAAAAUAAUAAUUGUCUAAAUAAAAACUUAUUAUUCAAAUAUUUGAAUUUUUUUUACUCAAAUAUAAUACAUAUGAGAAAAUAAAAAUCUCUAAAGAAUACACUUUCAAAUAUAUACACUUUCUCUUUCUAUCUUUUGAGAUAAAAUGUUUUGGAAACAAUGAAUCAAGAGAUUUUUGAGAUGCUUCAAGAGAUUUUCAAAUGGAUUUUUCAUUUAUUUUUUUUAUAAGAUCUGCCCAAGAAUCAAGUAACACUCAUAAUUUUCAAAAAUUUAUCAGACCAAAAAUAUUAUCAGAUAUAGUAAAAAUAUUUUUUACUCCAUUGAAACAUUUUUUCUAAAUGCAGGGGAGGGGAAAAAAUAAAAGAAAAAUACCCAGAGUUAGUAAGCAAAAUUGUAAAAUCAGGAUACAUGUCCUAUGGGGAAGUCCUUUUAUGCCAAGGGUUGGCCUAGCAUGAAAAAUGUAAUCUUUUGGGGUAAGCACCAUACAAUACCUGAUAGAUCCGAUCGACUUAUUGAGAUUCGAAUAAAAGACAAUUUUGAAAAUUUUGGCUAAUUGGAGUGACAGGAGACAAUUUGUUCUAACAAAAUGAGGAAAAAGUCCGAAUGGAUUGAUUGCUUUUGAUUGACACAUAAAGUGAUAUUAAAAAUCAAUUUAAUGUGAAAAACUUAUUUUUGAAAGAAUUGAAAUGUCUCGACUAGUUUUUUCGGUGAACUAUAGAUCGAAACUUUAAAAGAGAAUAAACGAGUUAAAUGGAUCGAAUGAAAUUGAUUAUUAGUUCAAAAAAUUGACUGAAUUAUCCAAAAAGUGAAUAAAACUGAUCAAAUGAAUUGAAUGAAAUUGAUGAUUUAUUCGAAAAAAAUUGAUUGGAUUAUCCUAAAAAUGAAUGAUGAAUUGGAUGGAACUGACGGUUUAUUUGAAAAUUGACUUGAUUGCCCAAGAAGUGAAUAAACUAGUAAAAUGAAUUGGAUGAAAUUGACGAUUUAUUCAAAAAUUGACUGGACUGACCUGAAGUGAAUAAAUCGGUCAAAAUGGAUUGGAUGGAAUUAACGGUUUAUUCGAAAAUCGACUGGAUUACUCCACUAUUUGUAGUUUCAAAACUCACAAAAUUUGUUGCAAAGCAUUAGUCUAUGAGUUUUCUAAAAUCAAGAUUUGACCUCGAUAUAUUUAUCAUCUCAACAAUGAGAAAUUAUUUGUGAAUUUUUUCAAUUUAUUGUCCUUUAUGCAAAGGAUUUUACCAACUUUGACAAAAUGGCCAAAAAAUGAUUAUUAAAGGCUAAUAUUCCAAUGCGCGAAAACUGUUCCAUCACUAUUCUCAAUGUCGUCAUCGUGGAAGGGAUCAGAUCCUACCUUACCUUGUGAAUUACCUCUUUGGAUGGUACAAAAAUAUAAACGUGCAAGUCACAUUGGAUUGUGUAUUCGAGACAAAAGAUAGAUUUUUCCUAACGUGGGAUUCCCUAUGCGGCAUUCCGUCUAUGGUUAAUGCAUGAUGACAAUUUAUUAAAACGUAUUAAAUAUACAAUGAAAUAAUUGAAAUAUGACCUAUAAGUGUCCCAUUUAAAUGGCAGGGUAAGCUUAAAAUGAUGUACAUGUAUAUAUAUAUAUAUUUAUAUAUACACAUAGUAUUAACGCGAUAAACUGAAAUUUAAACGUGCUAUUUACAAAAGGUGGUCUGCCCUAAGUGAGUACCACGCUAGGACUCUUGUUUCUAGGGCUUAUGAAUGCAAUAUAAGAAAAUAAAACAAUGGUUAGUUUAAUAAACGACACAUAACAUAUUGGAUCAACAAAAUAAUACAUAAAUAUAAGAUAAAAAAGAAAAAGAGAGGGGGUAAAAUCCCUCCCGUCGUAUCUAGUGUUCUUAAUAGGGUAGAUGAAGGUUCUAUCUUAGGUGAUUUCUAAAUGGAUGCAUGAGGUUGGGCUCACUAAUGCAUCUAAACUCGAUAAAGUUUCAGAUUCCCAAACCUUCAGACAAAAGGGCGAAGGGUCCUCAAUUCCAAAGUUCUUAGUCGGUGGCUCGAGUGACCCCUUUGAUAUUGCAACGUGCAUGUCGUGCCACGGUCACAUGUUCAAGUGGAUCGAUCCUAAUCCUAACAUAGAGGAAUGGUGUGAUAACCACUAAAAGAAAAUAAGAUAAAAGUUAAAAAUAAUAACAUAUGCACGUAUGAAGUGCUCAUUUGAGGGGAAGGAGUAAUACCCUUAAACAUGCAUGAAGGCUCUAUGGUAAUGUCGCUCCCCAUCCCCAAAUGCUAAGCGCGAUACAAAUAAAUAAAUAAACAAAAGUAAAUAGAUAAACCAUUUAUCACAUACACAAAAAACGAGGAACGAAUACUAGUGUGAAAUGUAAAACAUUCUGAAAAAAAGAAAAAUGCAACCUAAAACAUUCAAAUAUGAUAAAUGAAAGGGUUAGAAAGAUAAAAAACAACUAUGCCAAGUGCUUGGACUCUCUAGCGUUCCCAGUAGAUUCGCCAAGUAGUCGCGCCCUAUUUUUCACGAUGGAAAAAAAAUAUUUUUACCAUAGAUGCGGUUUUAUUUAAAAUAAGUGAAAAGAAAAUGUGAAAAGGGAUCUAAAAUGAGACUUUAAAAAAUGCGACACUUUGGGUCCAAAAAUUUAGUCAAAAGGAUUUUAAAGAAAAUAGAAGUCGCCACUUGGUAUUGAGUUUGAGUGUACCAAGUCACCCCAAAAAAUAUUUUUUAACAAAAAUAAAAUAAAAUAAAACUCCUUUCGACAACUACAGGUCUUUGAAAAACAAAAGAAAAUAGGUUCGGAAGUCACGGUCGAAAAAAGGGAAGGCAAAGAUUUGAUUAACUCAAACUUAAGGCAUCCUUUCAACUUAGUCUAAGUUAGUUGCGAGAUUUAGUCAAAAUUUUCCUAAUCUAGCUCUUAAUUCUAUCACAUUUGGAUGUUUUCUACAUGAAUGCAAAUCUAAAUUUAUAAAAUAUCGAAAGGGACAAAAUAUCCAUUUAAGGGUUUAAUUGAUACCAAUCGCAUUGAUUGCGAAGACAAAAUAAUUUCUUGAAGGGGUCACGAGCAUGCAUAAAUUGAAUUCAAAGAAAAGAAAAGAAACUUAAAUUAUAUAUCUAGAUAUAAGUGCGCAAAGAAUAGAAAAACAACAUAAUAGAUACGGGAGACAAAAACUCGUGACCUAAUUUUCUUAUACAGGGAUUAAUGGGUAUUUAAACUAAAAAAUUAUAAUCACCCAUUUCCCAUGUUCAAAGAAUAAUUCUCCUAACAUGAGCAAGCAAAUGAAUUAGCUGAAAUGAGAUACAAUUCUAAAUUAUAUGAUUAACACAUAUAGAGGGUAGGGGAUAAUAUAAUAGGAAAUAUCAUGCAAAUGAGAAAAAUUCUAAAAAUAAAAAUAUACAUGAAAAUGUAAUGGAUAUCAUACAAAAGAUGAAUCUAAUGCAUGAACCAUAUACGGGUCUCGCGUUGGACUAGCCCAUUUCUAAAAAAAUCUUUACUAGCAUUGGACUAGCAAGUAAAUAGAGGGAGAAACCACAACUAGCAUUGGACUAGUGUGGUGACGUCAUGCAUUCUUAACACAUAAUAUGAUAAAUAAGGCAUAAAUUAAAAUAAACAAACACAUAAGAGCACGUAGCACGUAACACAUGAUAUCUAAAUGCAAAGACCCUAAGAAAACGAGUAAACACGUAAACAUACAAGUAUGCAAACACACAAAGCAAAUAAGAGCAGAUAGAGACCUAACUAUUACAAUUUGGCAUUCAAUUGCCUUUUAAAUAAUCAUCAAAAAAUAAAUUUGUAGAACUUAAAAUAUAACAAGUAAAUAAAUAAAUAAAUAAAUAAAACACUUAAGCCAUGCAAUUACAAAUAAAACAUGUAGGAUCACAGAAAAAAUUUUAAAUUAUGAAAGAAAAUACCUCCCAUUGAAGUAGUAGCUACUUGAGUUUGGAUUUGCCCUAUUUAACUCCAAAAUUAACCAAAAUCAUUAAGGCACCCAUUUAAUCAACAAAUAAAUCAUUAAAAAUGGAAAUAAACAUGAAAUCAAUCAACUGAAACAUUCAAAUGGAAUAUAAUUCAUAAUUAAAAAGGAAAAGCAACUUCUAUUUAAGUAAUCAAAUCUAUUAGGGACCUAAUUACAAAAAUUAACAAAGUUUUAGGGAUCAAAUUGAAUUAUCACAAAGACCCAAGGUCAAAAUUAAAGAAAAAUAAAGUUUAGGGACCUAUUUACAAUUAAAUUAGGGACUUAAUUGAAGAAACCUAAAGUAUUUAGGACCACAAUAAAAUUAUUCAAAAAUCAAGGGACUGAAAUAUAAUUUCGUAACCAGAUUCUUAGCCAAAUCGGCCAUUAGGCCACUCUUAUUUAUCAUUUGGGCCAAAGGCCAUAAGGUCCACACAAAAGUCUAAGGAAAAAUACACAGGCUAGCCCGUAGUUGUAUCCAAAACACCAGCCCAAUGACAAAUGCAUGGGCUCUAGCCUCCUAUCCCAAGCCGAAAAUCCCAAUAAAAUAAACUAAAACCCAUUUCUAAAACCCAAACAAAAUAGCCCAGAUUUUUAUAUAAAACCCACCUAACAAACCUCAACCAAAACCUCCAACUAUUUUACCAAACCCAAUCAAAAUAAUAAAUCUAUCAAAAUUAUUAAAUCUUAAAUUUCAUCCUAAAAUUCAUAAAUAAUUUGUAAAAAAAAUCAUAUUAAAAAAUGCCAAAGAAAAUUUAAAUUUAAAGGGGCAGAAUUGAUUAUUUGCAGAAGUUUUUGAUCCACAGUGAAAUUAGGUAAAAAUUGGGGGAUCAAAAAUGAAAUUUUCAGAAAAUUCAUGCAUCCUGCCCAAAGCUUUCUUCUGCAGUUUCUGGGUUUGCUUGUCCGGCCAACUGAAGCUCCGACAGCCACGGCGGCGCCGACGCCUGUCACCGGAAAUUUCUCUGGUUGCCAAAAAUUACCAAAAUACACAUCCCCAUUCGAUUUUUGAAGUAGAUUCUAUUUUUUAAGUUAAUUUUUACAAAAAAAUGACCCGAAAGUGGCCAAAAGAGCAAAAGCCAGUCCAGUUUUUUUUUAACAUUCAAAUCUUCAUCAAAAAUCACAAAACUUUAUACUACCACACUCCUUGCAACUUCUACAAUACCACUAUAUUUUUAAAAUAAAGCAAAACAGCCCCUAAAAUUUAUUUUUUUUUCAUUUUGGCAUUUUUUCAAACAGUUAGCAUACAUAUAUAAAAAUUAUUUCCUUUUCCCUAAUCUAAUUCAAAUCAUUUUCCAAAUUUUUAACAAUACAACAAUAACAAUAAAAGACCACAAAAGCCAGAAAAUUAAACGAUAAAAUAUGGCUUUAACAUGGUUAACAAAAAAAUGAAAAAAAUACCUCAAUCUAAGCAAGAGUUUCACGGUCAAAAUUUUGAAGGGACUCCCAGGCUUCAUUCCUUCGUUGCUUGCUUUGUUGUAUUUAAAUUGUGUGUAGAUGUGUUGUGUGAAUUGAGAAAAUGGAGGGAUAGAGCCGAAAGGAUCAGAGAAAUUUUUUUCUCCUUCUUCCUCUCUGUUUUUUUAUUUCGGCAGCCUAAGCUGAGAGAAGAAGAGAGUGAGGGUCUCUCUGCAAAAUUUUCUUCUACUCCAUUGAGCCAGC
RNAcentral lists this long non-coding RNA (7923 nucleotides) under Coffea arabica (coffee). RNAcentral describes it as "long non-coding RNA (CARA_LNC006648)". The record is from RNAcentral. Lineage: Eukaryota; Viridiplantae; Streptophyta; Magnoliopsida; Gentianales; Rubiaceae.